Molecule: ribosomal RNA, 253 nt
Filed under: uncultured bacterium
Lineage: Bacteria
Description: partial 16S ribosomal RNA
Rfam family: Bacterial small subunit ribosomal RNA
Source: RNAcentral
UACAGAGACUGCAAGCGUUAUUCGGAUUCACUGGGCGUAAAGGGUGCGCAGGCGGCCAAGUGUGUUAGGCGUGAAAGCCUGAGGCUUAACCUCAGAAUUGCACCUAAAACUACAUGGCUAGAGCAUUGGAGAGGGUAGCGGAAUUCACGGUGUAGCAGUGAAAUGCGUGGAUAUCGUGAGGAACACCAGAGGCGAAGGCGGCUACCUGGACAAUUGCUGACGCUCAGGCACGAAAGCGUGGGGAGCAAAAGGG